UACAGAGGGUGCGAGCGUUGUUCGGAAUUAUUGGGCGUAAAGGGCGCGUAGGCGGCAUGACAAGUCACUUGUGAAAUCUCCGGGCUUAACUCGGAACGGCCAAGUGAUACUGUCGCGCUAGAGUGCGGAAGGGGCAAUCAGAAUUCUUGGUGUAGCGGUGAAAUGCGUAGAUAUCAAGAGGAAUACCUGAGGUGAAGACGGGUUGCUAGGCCGACACUGACGCUGAGUGCGCGAAAGCCAGGGGAGCAAACGGG
Molecule: ribosomal RNA, 254 nt
Filed under: uncultured bacterium
Lineage: Bacteria
Description: partial 16S ribosomal RNA
Rfam family: Bacterial small subunit ribosomal RNA
Source: RNAcentral